AGAGUUUGAUUCUGGCUCAGAUUGAACGCUGGCGGAAUGCUUUACACAUGCAAGUCGAACGGCAGCACGGGUGCUUGCACCUGGUGGCGAGUGGCGAACGGGUGAGUAAUGCGUCGGAACGUACCGAGUAAUGGGGGAUAACGCGGCGAAAGUCGCGCUAAUACCGCAUACGCCCUGAGGGGGAAAGUGGGGGAUCGCAAGACCUCACGUUAUUCGAGCGGCCGACGUCUGAUUAGCUAGUUGGUGGGGUAAAGGCCUACCAAGGCGACGAUCAGUAGCGGGUCUGAGAGGAUGAUCCGUCACACUGGGACUGAGACACGGCCCAGACUCCUACGGGAGGCAGCAGUGGGGAAUUUUGGACAAUGGGGGCAACCCUGAUCCAGCCAUUCCGCGUGAGUGAAGAAGGCCUUCGGGUUGUAAAGCUCUUUCAGCUGGAACGAAACGGUACGCUCUAACAUAGCGUGCUAAUGACGGUACCGGCAGAAGAAGCACCGGCUAACUACGUGCCAGCAGCCGCGGUAAUACGUAGGGUGCGAGCGUUAAUCGGAAUUACUGGGCGUAAAGCGUGCGCAGGCGGAUUGUUAAGCAAGACGUGAAAGCCCCGGGCUUAACCUGGGAAUGGCGUUUUGAACUGGCAGUCUAGAGUGCGUCAGAGGGGGGGUGGAAUUCCACGUGUAGCAGUGAAAUGCGUAGAGAUGUGGAGGAACACCAAUGGCGAAGGCAGCCCCCUGGGAUGACACUGACGCUCAUGUACGAAAGCGUGGGUAGCAAACAGGAUUAGAUACCCUGGUAGUCCACGCCCUAAACGAUGUCAACUGGUUGUUGGGGGGAGUGAAAUCCCUUAGUAACGAAGCUAACGCGUGAAGUUGACCGCCUGGGGGAGUACGGUCGCAAGAUUAAAACUCAAAUGAAUUGACGG
RNAcentral lists this ribosomal RNA (919 nucleotides) under uncultured bacterium. Its description in RNAcentral is "bacterial SSU rRNA". It matches the Rfam family "Bacterial small subunit ribosomal RNA", at positions 8 to 916 of the family's 1533-position model. The record is from RNAcentral.